CCGCAGCCAGCAUCGCCCGGCUCAGCCAUCUCUGAAUUCCUCAUCUCAGAAACAACCUGCGGUCGUGGAGCUGGGGAGACACAGGCCUUCCGCUGUCAGUAGGUCAGGCGACUUCUCCGAGGCUCCAGCUUCUGAACAUGUCUGUCCAGUGUGAACAAGCCUGUGUGUAGCUUGGCUGACGAGAUGGUGAAGAAAGAAACCCGCAAAGAGGGCUGAGCACAGCUCCCGGCCGCAGCGAGGGCGCGGGGAGUCGCAGGGUGGCUCUGUCAUUGUGUUUGGCAGUCAUGUCAGCUGGCAGGGUGACACCCAGGGCACAACAGAGCAGCCACUCUGCUGCCAUGACAUGUGACCUCUCAGAGAGCUGUGCUGCGCUGUGGCCAACAGCGUGGGGAUAGGCUGAGCACCAGCAGUGCCAGCUCCUAGCUGCACCGGCUUGGAUGGGAUGCUUACCUUGCUAAGCUGGGCAUCCUCAGCCUUAAAAGGGAGCCGGGGAAAGUGACCGGUGGGUUAGUGGCAGGGAUUGCAUGGACUUGGGUGUGCCCUCUCCAUGGCAUCUAGCCAGGGGCAAAGGACUGGCAUCCUCGGGAGAUGCUGAAGGAAGAUAAGGAUGCCCGGAGCAGAAGACGGGGGCUGGGCCCCCGCAGAUGGAGGGCAGCAGGAGCCGUGGGGCAUCCUGGGAAAAUCCAGAGCUGAGCUCCCAGGAGGCUGAUGGGGAGGCUGGGGGAGGGGUGUGGGAAGGAGGCUGCCCUCUGGCCCCCAGGGUGUGGCUCCGGCCUGCAGCAGCUGGACCUGUAGGGACACAGCUCAGUGGUCCCCUCCUCGGGGGGUUGGAGGGGCCAGCUCAGGUGUUGCUUUCCUUUGCAGAACUGAAACGUUCUUUUUUUCUUUUUCUCUUCUAUUUUCACUCUGGCCAAUUAGUGCAUCUCAGGCUGGUGAAAACAAGAAGCACAGAAGAAAGCAAUUGAGAGAGGGCACAGAAGCCCCGGCACUGGCUCUGGCUCCUGGCCUAGUGCCCGUGCCCGUGGUGCUGAGAGAAGGGAUGGAGACGCAGCUCCGCCCGGGAGGACAGGAGCCAGGGCAGAGGAGGCGGGCCUGGCUUGCAGGCCGCUGUGAACACCAACAGGAGACUUCAGACACCUGCUUAAUCGCAGCUGUGAGCGGCUCCUUCCCAGGCACGGGCUCCAAGCCCAGGCCUUUCUUCUCCAGGCCUGAGGCCCUUGUGUGAUGCCUUUGAAGACCGGGCUUUGUCUGGAAGGAGGCACGACCCCUGCCCCAGCCCUGGAUGCAGGAACCGCCCAGGCCUCCGGGUUUCUCUUCCUGGAACCCUCCACGGCUCCCUCGUGCUGCUGAGUGGGGAUGAGAUGGGGCCUUAGGGGGACCUGACCCUGCUCAGCCCUGCCUGUUAAGGGGGACAGCUGCCUCCACCACCGAGAAGGCCGAGGAAGCGCCUCCAGCUCCCACGAGGAGUGGGACCUCGGGGACAUGUGCUCCAGCCUCCGCGCGUCAGCCAGACGCAUGCUCCCAGGCUCCGUGGGCAGGACCGGGCAGGGCGAGGGAGGAGGACGGAGGAGGGACCCACUGGACCCAGUGGCUCUCAUCUUCUUCUCGUAUCAGGCCUCCUGGGGGGCCUCCGGUCUUUGUGAAGUCCGCAUCUUGAUGCUUCAAUCCAGAGUCUGAAAGAGGAGCGCUGGGGGGAGAAGAUGCUGGGUUACCCCGUCAGUGUGCGCCGACUGGGCGCAAGAGGCCCCCGCACGCCAGCUCCGUGCCCGCCGAGACGCGAACAGAAGGAUGGGUGGCUCGUGCUCCCGGCCGUCAGACCCUGAAGCUUGGAAGCAAGAGACUCUGGCACGUCCCCCUCUGCCCAGUGCUGCCACGGCGAGGGGAUCCCUGGAUGCCAGAGGCUGGAAGCUUCUCCCCCGAACGUCCAGAGGGCCUGUGGGCUGCGGGCACCGUGACCUUGGGCGUCUCAGCUGUGGGAGAACACACUCCUGCCUGGUUGAUCUUUUGAGCCGUGGGGUUUGUGGAGUUGUUACGGCGGCGCUAGGAAACGAACCAAACAGCAAAAACCAAGCGUCUUAGAAAACGCCACUGGUCUGAACUUGGACCCCGCAGGGAGGCUGCUGGGCCUGGGGCCGCAUCCUCAGUCUGUGACCAGCAACGGGCUCGGGUCCUGGUGCAGGUACGUCAGACGAGGGCUGGAGCCCCAGUCCCACCAGGAGACCAGGCCUGGGAGGGGCCGAGGCCCUGCCCAGGCAUGUGCCUGGCCCACUCUGGGCACGCUCGCCCAGCGUCUCACAGCAAAAUAUUUAGAUCAGACGGGGGGAAAGAGAGCAAAGCAGAAAGGACCCUCUUGCACGCCCCCUCCCGCCUCCAACCACCUUCCGUGCUGGCCGCUCCCUGCUGCCCGUGCUGAGCUGGCCCAGACACGCAAAUCCACGUGGAUCCUUUCUCAGAGCGUUGAAAUGUUUGGAUGCGGUGCACAGAGCAGACAGGAGCUGCCUCCUCUUUUUCCUGGUUACUUCCGACUAUUCCGGACACGGGGAGGGGUCACCUCCCGUUCCUGAUGAGCAUUUGGACGGGCUGUGGUUUUCACGAGAGAUGCUUCACAUGUUUCUUCGUGACAGGUGACUAGACCUGGGCUGGCUGGCCGGUCGCGGUUUGAUAGCACCUGUCCAUUGUCUUAAUUUACGUUCUCACGGUGGUGGCCUCCUGUGCCCUCACUCUCUGGAACCUGGUAGUAUCAGUCUUUCAUGUUUCCCAUGCUCGUGGGGAAAAAAAUGUCUCAUCAUGGCUUUAAUUCAUAUUUCCCUGAGUUCUGGUGAAGCUGAGUGUGUCUAAUUUCACAUGGAGAGUCUGGGCUCUUCUGCCCUGAACCGCCCACAUCCUGGGUCAUUUACCUCUUAUUGUUGCUGGGUGGGUGCUCUUUAUAUAUUACGGGUUUUAUCAUUUCUAUUUAAAGACCCAGAAAUAUUUUUU
Molecule: non-coding RNA, 2976 nt
Organism: Sus scrofa (pig)
Lineage: Eukaryota; Metazoa; Chordata; Mammalia; Artiodactyla; Suidae
Source: RefSeq, a predicted model, not a curated record